RNAcentral lists this long non-coding RNA (8214 nucleotides) under Ananas comosus (pineapple). Its description in RNAcentral is "long non-coding RNA (ACOM_LNC033175)". The record is from RNAcentral. Lineage: Eukaryota; Viridiplantae; Streptophyta; Magnoliopsida; Poales; Bromeliaceae.
CAUAACCGAAGACCUAUAAUUUUCAGGGCUGCGAAGCGGAGCACGGUUGAGGCGCAGUUGCAGUAUCGGGCCGUGCCGGAUACGGGUGCCACGGGAGGCCGAUUGCAAGUGUCGACAAUCAAUCGGAACGCGAAUUAAGGUGGGUUGUGCUUACCGAAGCGAUUAGGUCGCCCUUUAUGUCUAAGAAACUAAGAAUCCAUGUUGAUGCAUAUAAAUGUAAAUGAAGCAUGUAAAUGAUGCAUGUAGCUAAAUAAUGCAUGUUGAUAGUAUGAUGUAAAUGCUAAAUAGAAUGCAUUAUGAGCAAGUUACAUAAUGCUAAAUAAUGUAAUGUAGAAAUGCUAGAAUGCAUUAUGAGCAAGUUACAUAAUGCUAAAUAAUGUAAUGUAGAAAUGCUAGAAUGCAUAAUGAGCAAGUUAUAUGAUGCAUGUUUAUAGUAUGAUGUAAAUGCUAAGUAGAUGCAUAUAAAUGAUAUAUGAGAUUAUAAACGCAUGAUUAGCAUUAUGAGAUCAUAGAUGCAUGCUUAGCAUUGUGAGAUUAUAUAUGCAUAUGAACUUGGUUGAUAACUCUAGCUUGAUUAGAGAGAUAACAUUGGAAAAUGAGAAUUGAUAACUCUAGAAUGAGUAGAAUGCUUAAUUGGACAAUUAGUAUGUGAAUUAGAUCGAGUGGCAUCUAACUUAGUGUUAAGGAACAUAGGUCGUGAGUAGACCUAGAAUCAAAUAGAUCGAGUGGCAUCUAACCUAGUGUUAAUAAACAUAGGUCGUGAAAUGAAAAGUACUUAACCUAGAGUCAAGUGAACCUAGGUUGGAAAGAAUAAUGAUCCUAGUGUAAUAAACCUAGGUUAAGAAUGUGAAAGCAAUAAACCUAAUGGGUGAACUUAGGUUGAGUAAAGGCUUAGACCUAGAGAGGUCAGUUCCAUAGGGUUAAGACCAACCCCUAUGUGAUGUGAAAUGGAUUCCGGAAUCCCAAGGCUAAAAGGAUACACCCAAAGUGGUGUCGGGUGUGUGCGACGAUUUCGCCGCCCAAGGGCUAAAGAACCAUUGUCGUGGCGUGUGCGACGAUUUCGCCGCCGGAUGGUUAGCCAGUUUGUGGAUCCUACCGCCUGUUGAUUGAACCACUGUCGUGGCGUUUGUGCGACGAUUUCGCCGCCGGGUGGCUUAGUCAUGGACCUAGGCCGUUGUUGGGUGAGGUGCGAUUCGUUCGCCGCCAGACGGCUAGGAUAGGAGUACGGUGAGCUGUUGCCAGCUGAGGUGCAUGUGAGAGUUCCUUCACCUCGAGCUAGAUAGUGCGCGGACUAUCCGCGAUUGAUUGACUCGAAGCCGAGUCGGGUGGUUAGCUAUGAUAGGGUAGAGGAACCCUUAUGAGCUAGAGAUAGAGGCUUGAGCUAAGGUAAUAGAAACCUUAGAAGCCAGUGGUUAGUGUUGUGAUCCUAAGGUAAUAGAAACCUUAGAGUAAAGUUAUGAGCUAAAGUAGCCAAGUAUAAGUAGAAUUCAAAUGAUCUACUAGUUGCAUGAUUUUCAUAUCUCAUAUCGUGAGGCAUGGCAUGUAUAUUUCAAUUGAAAAUAUAUGUCUGUUGUAUAUUGUUGAACUAACAUAUUGCAGUGCCUCCUCGGACCUAUCGGUCGAUCUUUUCCCUUAGGUGGCCGUACCCACUGGGAACCAUGGAGUUGGUUCUCACCCCACGUGGUUUUGGGGUGUUUUCAGGUUGUUCGUGCGCGGCGUGGUGGCGCGAGGCAAGGGCGUAGCUCAGUAGAUAGCGCCCCACCACAGAGACCGAGGUAGCAGUACCGUGAGACAGUCUAGCUUAGGGGUCUAGAAGACAAGAAAAGAAAAUGUAUCAAACUUGAUAACUCUGAUGUAAUAGCGAGAUUGUAAUUUGGAAGUAAAAAUGUAAACAGAAACUGUGAUGUAAAAAGUGGUUGUAAAAUGAAUGCAUGUAAUAGCAAGUAGAUUAUGUAUUUGAUACUUCCUUAUGCAAUCUGGAUUGAUAUCCGUUCCUAGUUGGAACAUUCGUUGAUUGUUUGGAUUGCGACGCCUUGGACGUACUGGGGAGACUCUGUCCGCGUACAAAGGAAUCCCCGGUCCGUUCGGUGGUCUGUCGUCGGCGCCGCGACCCUGUCCAAAUAGGCGGUUGGUCGCAGGGAGUGACAGAUAAGAUGGUAUCAGAGCAUAAAGUAGAGAAUGGGCUAUGGUUUAGCUGGACCUAGGAGACCUAGGAUAGUAAACCAUAGGAGAAUAAGGCUCGUGAGAGACGAGGACUUGUGAAUUACGGCGAAAGAUUGAUCGAUUGGGUCAGGUUAGUAACCCUCUGAAACGGAUGUUAGAGGUGGAUUCAAGGUUCAGUUUAUUCUCAGCCGAGGAUGUUCAUGUUGGGCAUGCACAACAUGAAACCGGGUGAUGAGAAUAGACGUCCUUGCGUGACUUUCGCCCGAUUUGAGUCAGUGUUAGUUGUCUCGUGUUCGACCCAGAGGGUCGAGGGUUGAACGAGUUGUCGUGCUUUAGGAAGCGAUGGCAUCGUGUAGGCGAUCAAUAUAAAGAUCGGCGCGGGAUGAGACAAGUGGUGUCCCUAAGCAAUCUGAAGCGAGCGGAGAAUUGAAACUUCGCUAUCAAUUGGCCACACUCGUGGGAGUGGUGAGGCCACGAGUCGGUGGUGCAGCGUCAGUAGGAGACUACCAUACACCAAAGGGAUCGUGUAAGAGGGACUCCAAGAGUUGGUGGACCAGUGGUGAUCGCACUAGUUUCGGCUCGUCGAGUAUGGCCGGGAGUCGCGGUGGAGGUGUUUCCGUCGGGGUUGGGUGAUCCGACUUCUAGCAGUUCGUUGGUGGAGGCAGUGAGGAGGGCGAGCUUUGGUGGCCCUCAUGACCUUCAAGCUAUUGGAUCCACCCACCUUUGGUGGAGAGGAUGCGGAUCCAUGAACCAUGGAGUUGUGGAUCGACUCCAUAGAGACUCUCUUUAAGGGUCUAUGUGCUGUGGAGCGGGAUAAGGUACGCCUAGCCGUGCGUUGUCUGAAACAAUCGGCGAUGGUGUGGUGGAAAGGCGUCAAGCGGAUUUGAUCGCCUAGUUUCCUUCCUGUCGCUUGGGAUGAGCUUCGGGAUUUGUCGUGUUCUACUUCCCCGUACCCCGUACCCGAAGUUUGCCCAGUCUGGGCAGUGCACAUUCUUGAGUGCAAUUGCAAUCCCUAACCUCGGAGGUGUCUUGUGUUAACUUCUUCAAGAUACGGGAUUACCGAAGUUCUCACCAGGCGCGGUGGGGUGCGCUGCGUGAUGAGAUCUGCAUUCGUAUGGGCGAUGGCCAAGCCAUAAGCGAGGGGAGUGCCGCUGAGGGAUGAUCAGACCUUAGCGUUAGCGACGGCCUCCUCCUCCCCGAGACAGCCUGUGCGUGUGUCACCUGCAGCAUGGUUUGGAGGGUGAGUGAUAAAGAAGUGACAACCUGAGGGUUCGCGGCGAGCGCCAGGUGGCCAUGGAUAGCGACCCGGUUUGGGGAGCCUGCUGCUGCCGAGGAUAUCGCGGCAGAUGUGAUUUAGUUAAAGCAAGCAGGUACUUUUGCAUGAUCUCAAGUUGACGCAUUGUGUCUUUGCCCUGUGGUCAUUUACUGCUAUCGAUGCGUCAGAGUGGCAGGGACCAAGUGGACGGGUAAGUGUAAAUGCCCGGGCAUGCUUAUGCGGUGAAAGUGUAGCACCUGCCGGUGCAAGCAAGGAGCUAUAUGGCACUAACAAGUUACUAGUGAUAACCAGGUGAUAAGACUCAUGGUAAAGGUGGAGAUGGGGAAAUGACUCUCGAGGCAACGAUUAGUGGAUUGCGAGGGUUGAACCAUAAUACCUGUAGACACGCGAGUAAUCCGAGAAUUUCGGAUAUUGUUCCGAUAGAUCGAACGGUGAAAGGAAAGUCAUUGUUGAGAGAGUAACUGGUUAGUUACCAAGUUGUGGCACGUGGGCCUAGUAGUAGCACCUCAACUUGAGGUUAGAAGUUGUGCUUAUUUGGUCGGCGCGCAUAGGCAGGGUUGCCUGAUGCUAGAUUUAGUUUGGAACGCUAUAGAGGCGUGUAGAGCGCUUGAGUAUAGGUACUCGUGGUGUGCGGUAUUCACUCAGCCGAGAAAGUGAGAUGGCAGUAGCACUGUAGCAUUGCUAGGUGUGAAGCGUGCCUGGUAUCACUCGUAGGGGCUGAUGGCUCGCACUAGGUGCUUAGGAGCGGAUAUUGGUAUGUGUGACUCGGUAGAGCAUGUCGUGUAGGACGACGACGGCGGGUAGUGCUUGGGGACGACCCGUGCCUGGACCAUUUGUGGACUGUAGAGCCUGAGCCCUUUGGGCAGGCGCAGUCAGCUGUGAGAGACAGCGGCCCGAUACCUACAGGUAGGGCAGAGAUUUGGUCAGGAUGGUAGUCCGAGCUUAGACCCGGGAGCGUGGAAUGCCACGUGUUAGAUCAUGAGAUCGAGGAUACACCGAGUGUGUAGUGACCCAACCCGAGGAUUUGAGGUGGUUUGGGGUCACGGUUGCUCCUGGUUGGAGCGUGUGCGAAUUCUCCAAUGCGAAUUUCGCCCGAUUAUGAUUUGGCCUACGCUGGUGAGCAAGGGACGCUAUACGUAGUUGUAAGAGGUUUAGGCGGUAGACCUACGUAGGACGGGUGACUGUUGGUCCACCUGUGGAAACCGACGUAAUCGGUUUAGCCGAUAACUCUAUUAGUGAGUUGGCUUGGAUUCACGAACAUAGGGUUCGUGUGGAUUUGUCGCAAGAGCAAGGUAAAGUUGGUCGUGGCUUAUGAUAUCAAGGGCGAAAUGCUCUUGUGCGAUAUUGAGAUGUGGAUAGCCACGUGGGAAUUGGAGCUUGAGGACAAUGCUCUUUUGUGGAUUGAGAUUGGAGAUGUGCCGGAAUGGGCCAUCUCCUGAUAGAACAAGGAUCCGGUUGUGAUGAACCACUCGCGAUUGGUCGAGUCACCAACGAUAUUGCUUCUAAGCAAUGCAGGUGAUCGAAUCGGAGUGAAAUUUUUCGUUUGGGUGUAUAAUGCAAGAGUAGUUCUUUGCAUGGUGGUAAUACACUUUUGGAGCUGCACGUGGCAAAUGUGAGUGAAUCUAGUCUCACAUCUUCCGUAGUGAGCCUAUGGAUAGUUCCGAUGAGCGAAAAGCCACUCCGAGAUGCAAAAGUGCACUGUACCCCUUGUCACUCAAGAAAGAGAAUUAGAGUGUGAAUUGGGUUGAAGUGAGUGAGUUUCGGGGACGAAACUCUUUUUAAGGAGGGGAGAAUGUAAGGUACCGGACUUCUAAAACUAUGAAGUUACGGUGUACAUUUAAAUGGCUCCGGUGAGGUUGCGGCGGAAUGUAACAUACCGGAUUUUAAAUAUAAAAGUGAAAAUAAAUAAAAAUAGUAUGAGAUACUAUUUUUAUUGGAUUUAGAGAAGUGAAAUAUAGGUUGGGAAUGACCUGUGCUGAAAUCGGAGCGAAAACAGAAGAUUUAGAAUUUUCUGUUGGAAAUGGGACAGAUAAUUAGCAGAAAAUGCACAGUCUCAGAAAAUUAUGAAAAUUGGCGGGGAUGUCAGAAAUAUUUUAAUGAGGCUAGAUUUGAAGUUUCAUAUUUUUCUGACGCCCGUAGAGAGAGAAAUAGCAUCCGAAAGCCAUCUGAUAAAGAUUGCAGUUCGGCACAGUUUUCGGUGACCAAACGGGGUCGAAACUGAAAUAUUAAAAUUUCUUUGGACUUAUUAAGUAAAACCGAGCGUGCCUGUCAAAUUUGAGCUCAAACGGAUAUUCAGGGAGCUCCGGCGAAAGAUAUCAGAUUUGGAGCUGCCUGAUGUGAAUAGUGUAUGCUACUAUUGAGGUGUUGACUAUAAGUAGAAGCUACUAGGCUUCUUCCUCCUCAAGUUGCAGCCAGCACCAAGCAUCACACGCACAUGGUGUAGUGAGAGAAACCCUCUCUUUCUCUCUCUAAAUAUCUCUCUCAUCUCUCUAUAUUUCUCGCCCAAAUUCGCGGCGUUGGUGGAGAUCGAGCUUGCGAACGCGUUGGAGGCGACGGAUUGAGCUUUCGUGCGCCCGUUGGAGCGGCGUGUUUUCGUUGCGGCGUUCACAUUGGGGUAAGCUUUUGGGAUUUGGCUUAAUCCUUAGCUUUAAGUGUUCUAUUAGCCUCUAAUGAUCAUUAGUAAGCAUAUUGAUCCAUUUAAUUUGGAUUAUUUGGAGGUUAAUUGUACGUUAGGGCUCCGAAUGGGAUUUUGUAAAAUGUAAGGGUUUGAUCUCAUUUGACCCUUCGUAAACCUAAUUGCUAGGUAACGAAACGCGUUGGCGAAGACGGUUCGGUAAUUCGACGAGCCGUUACAAAGUUAUUAAAGAAAUAGACGUUUAGGCUUCGGGUCCGCCGGGAGGGCCGAUGCGACGUCGUAAAAUCAUGGAAAUGGAUUUGAGGCAUCGUGGCACAUAACCGAAGACCUAUAAUUUCCGGAUUUGUAAAGCGGAACACGGUUGAGGCGCAAGAUCUUGUCGGGCCCAAAGGGUGCCGAGUGCCGCGGGAGGCCGAUUGCAAGUGACGACAAGCAAUCGGAACGCGAGUUAAGGUGGGUUGUGCUUACCGAAGCGACUAGGUCGCCCUUUAUGUCUUAGCAAUGUAAUCUCAUGUUGAUGCAUGUGCAUGUAGACAAGAGCAAGGAUGCAUGUUAAUAAAGAUGCAUAAAGUAGAUGCUAAGUAGAAAGCAUGAUAAAUGGUAAUGCUUAGAGCAAAUGCAUAUUAAUAACAAUGCAUAGUGGAGCAUAAUGAUUAUGGCAUUAGAUAAUGCUAGCUAAUGUAAAGUAAUGCAUGAUAAUGAUAAUGCAUAGAUGAAAAUGCUUAGUAGAAAUGCAUGGUGAGCAAGUUACACAAUGCUAAUAAUGCAUGAUAAUAAUGUAAUGCUAAGUAAUGCAUGAUAUGAAGUAAAUGCAUAUUAAUAAUAAUGCAUGAUGAGGAUGCUAAGUAAGGGAUGCAUGUUAGUAAUGAUGCAAAGAGUAAUUGCUAAGUAGAAAGCAUGAUGCAUGGUAUAUGUAUAUAAACCAGAUGAUAACUCUAGGAUGAGUAGAGAUGACUGGACAACUAAGUUGUCAGGUAGAUCGAGUGGCAUCUAACCUAGUGUUAAAGAACAUAGGUUGGUUAGUAAACCUAGAGUUGAACAAUCUAGGUGUGUGGCAUCUAACCUAGUGUUAGUAAACCUAGGUUGAACUAGUAAACCUAGAAGUGGAUAUCUAGGCAAAGAUGAUAAGAACCUAGCAAGUGUAUCUAGGUUAAGUGAUGUGGACAUAGAACCUAGAGUGUUGGAACCUAGGUUGAUGAGUAUAGUGGUAUAGCCACUAGAUUGAGCUAGGUCGACAGUAUAGGGUUGGCUAUGAACCCUCGACCUGUGGUAAGUGGAUUCCGGAAUCCCAGGACUUAUGAUGUCCCUGGUACAGGCUAGGGCGUUCGUGCGACGAUUUCGCCGCCGAGCUUGGUACCGUGGGUAGAUUGGGGGCGAUCACAUGGAGAUCACCGCCCGGGGCUUGAACCAUUGUGCUGGCGUUUGUGCGACGAUUUCGCCGCCAGAGUGGUUAAGCCAUUUGAGGAUCAGACCGCCAGAGUAGACUGAAUCCAUGCUGGGUAAGUACGAUGCGGGUGCCUCCAGGUGACUGAGUCUGACAUGAUCGUUGUUGGGUGUGGUGCGACCCGUUCGCCGCCAGACGGUAUGUCAUGUCUCGAGCUCACGCUGGGUAUGUGCAACGCGAUCGCCACCGAUGGUCAAGUCUUGUGACUCGAGCCGUCUUCAGCGUGUGCGACGAUUUCGCCGCUAGGAGGCUGAGUCAGAGAGAGUGCGGUAGGCUGUUGAGCAGCCAGUGCGCGGACUAUCCGCAGAUGAUUGACUCGAAGCCGAGUCGGGUGGUUAGCUAUGAUAGGGUAGAGGAACCCUUAUGAGCCAGAGAUAGAGGCUUGAGCUAAGGUAAUAGAAACCUUAGAAGCCAGUGGUUGGUGUUGUGAUCCUAAGGUAAUAGAAACCUUAGAGUAAAGUUAUGAGCUAAAGUAGCCAAGUAAAAGUAGAAUUCAUAUGAUCUACUAGUUGUUGCAUGGUUUUCAUAUCGCAUAUCGUGAGGCAUGGCAUGUAUUUCAAUUGAAUAUAUAUAUCUGUUGUAUAUUGUUGAACUAACAUGUUGCAGUGCCUCCUCGGACCUAUCGGUCGAGCUUUUCCCUUGGGUGGCCGUACCCACUGGGAACCAUGGAGUUGGUUCUCACCCCACGUGAUUUUG